GGUCUUAUAGUUCAAGGGAUAGAAUAGAAGUUUCCUAAACUUUAGAUUCCAGUUCGAGUCUGGAUAAGACCAC
This 73-nucleotide transfer RNA is filed under the name Emticicia aquatilis. RNAcentral describes it as "tRNA-Arg". It matches the Rfam family "tRNA". Rfam says of the family: Transfer RNA (tRNA) molecules are approximately 80 nucleotides in length. Their secondary structure includes four short double-helical elements and three loops (D, anti-codon, and T loops). The record is from RNAcentral. Lineage: Bacteria; Pseudomonadati; Bacteroidota; Cytophagia; Cytophagales; Leadbetterellaceae.